GAUGAACGCUGGCGGCGUGCUUAACACAUGCAAGUCGAACGAAACACCUUAUUUGAUUUUCUUCGGAACUGAAGAUUUGGUGAUUGAGUGGCGGACGGGUGAGUAACGCGUGGGUAACCUGCCCUGUACAGGGGGAUAACAGUCAGAAAUGACUGCUAAUACCGCAUAAGACCACAGCACCGCAUGGUGCAGGGGUAAAAACUCCGGUGGUACAGGAUGGACCCGCGUCUGAUUAGCUGGUUGGUGAGGUAACGGCUCACCAAGGCGACGAUCAGUAGCCGGCAUGAGAGAGUGAACUGCCACAGUGGGACUGAGACACAGCCCAAACUCCUACGGAAGGCAGCAGUGGGGAGUAUUGCACAAUGGGGGAAACCCUGAUGCAGCGACGCCGCGUGAGUGAAGAGGUAUAUCGGUAUGUAAAGCUCUAUCAGCAGGGAAGAAAAUGACGGUACCUGACUAAGAAGCCCCGGCUAACUACGGG
Molecule: ribosomal RNA, 481 nt
Filed under: uncultured bacterium
Lineage: Bacteria
Description: partial 16S ribosomal RNA
Rfam family: Bacterial small subunit ribosomal RNA
Source: RNAcentral